This 96-nucleotide antisense RNA is filed under the name Talaromyces islandicus. RNAcentral describes it as "Penicillium islandicum ctRNA". It matches the Rfam family "ctRNA". From Rfam's summary of the family: Rolling circle replication plasmids contain a number of mechanisms to maintain a low copy number. One of these methods is to transcribe a small RNA called ctRNA (for counter-transcribed RNA) than is transcribed on the opposite strand to RepB the replication initiation protein. ctRNA binds to the mRNA of repB and causes translational inhibition. Lineage: Eukaryota; Fungi; Ascomycota; Eurotiomycetes; Eurotiales; Trichocomaceae. The record is from Rfam by way of RNAcentral.
AUACAAGAUUAUAAAAACAACUCAGUGUUUUUUUUCUUUGAAUGAUGUCGUUCACAAACUUUGAUCAGGGCGUGAGCGACUCCUUUUUAUUUUGUU